Molecule: long non-coding RNA, 969 nt
Organism: Sapajus apella (tufted capuchin)
Lineage: Eukaryota; Metazoa; Chordata; Mammalia; Primates; Cebidae
Exons: 4
Source: RefSeq, a predicted model, not a curated record
GGCGCCAUUGCACUCCAGCCUGGGCGAUGAGCGAGACUUCAUCUCAAAAAAAACAAAACCAUGGUACUAAACUGAAGUGAAUGUGAUCUUGACAAGAGGUCAGAUCAUUCUCUUUGGUCAGAAAUAUCUCUGGGUAAAGUGAACAUAAAAUAAAGGCCACAACCAGCAUUAAGGUGUGUCAGAAACCCAUUCAUUUGACUUUGAACAGGCUGCUUUAAAAAAAAUUUUUUUUUUCCAACCAGCCAAACAGAGAGGAAGUUCAACUAUGAACCAGAUUACAAAAUCAUCUGAAGCUGUAACAGUGAAAACUACUUCAGGGAAGAAAAAGAAUAACAAAGGAAUGAAGAAGAAAAUUGAAGGUCUGAUGGAAGCCAGUCCUUGCUUAGUGAAGUUGCAUUUGGCAGACAAUGGCAUAGAUGGAAAAGGAAAAGAAGAGAAAAUGGUUUGUUGCAAUUCAUUCAAACUUUAACAUGCCUGAUCAAAUACUCUGCCCACUUGAGGGAAAUUGACCUUGGAAACAACGUCCUAAGAGAAAUGGCUGCUGCUGACAUACUUGAAAUGCUGAGAGCCAGAAAGACAGCCCAACCUGCAGAGAGGUCUCCAGAUAUCAAUUGCAAAACUCAAGUCACAGCCCCCGUAAGAUUAUGAUAUGCUUUCUGGAUCAUCGAAGGAUGAUUAAUUGUGAUUGGCAUAGGGAGAGCAGUAAGUCUUUUAAGAUCCUGCAAUCCUUUGAAAAGGAGAGCAUCACAAGUGGAAGGAGUUGGUUCCUGUGGCCACUCCUGCCCUCUCCAUCGCCAGCAUGCGUGACCAGAAUUAAUGACGGCUGCUCAUCCUGCUGAUGCAGAGGAGGCAAAGAAAUGUCAUUUUAAAUGAAGCUCCAUGGAAGAUUUCAUAAACAGAUUUGAAAAUGCAAAUUCAACUUUAAGAAAAGUAGAAAGAACUCGGGCCGGGCGUGGUGGCUCACGCCUG